CCUACGGGCGGCAGCAGUGAGGAAUAUUGGUCAAUGGCCGGAAGGCUGAACCAGCCACGCCGCGUGAAGGUCAGUGCUCUUCGGGUUUUAAACUCCUUUUGUGCGGGAGCAUUAAUGGUCACGCGUGGCCAGACGACAGUACCGAACGAAUAAGCAUCGGCUAACUCCGUGCGAGCGGCCGCGGUAAUACGGGGGGUGCAUGCGUUAUCCGGAUUUAUUGGGUUGAAAGGGUGCGUAGGCUGGGAGGUAAGUCAUCGUGUGAAUGCCCCCGCUCAAAGUGAUGAAGUGCCAUUGAUACUGUGUUGCUGGAGUGCGGGUGCGGUGGGAGGAAUGUGUGGUGUAGCGGUGAAAUGCAUAGAUAUCA
Molecule: ribosomal RNA, 364 nt
Filed under: uncultured bacterium
Lineage: Bacteria
Description: partial 16S ribosomal RNA
Rfam family: Bacterial small subunit ribosomal RNA
Source: RNAcentral